AGAGGUGUAGCUCAGUAGUAGAGCACAUGCUUAGCAUGGAUGGGGUCCUGGGCUCAAUCCCCAGUACCUCCA
This 72-nucleotide transfer RNA is filed under the name Camelus bactrianus (Bactrian camel). It matches the Rfam family "tRNA". From Rfam's summary of the family: Transfer RNA (tRNA) molecules are approximately 80 nucleotides in length. Their secondary structure includes four short double-helical elements and three loops (D, anti-codon, and T loops). Lineage: Eukaryota; Metazoa; Chordata; Mammalia; Artiodactyla; Camelidae. RNAcentral also lists the same sequence under 1 other name. The record is from Rfam by way of RNAcentral.